RNAcentral lists this long non-coding RNA (11363 nucleotides) under Homo sapiens (human). RNAcentral describes it as "non-protein coding lnc-ACOX3-7:1". The record is from RNAcentral. Lineage: Eukaryota; Metazoa; Chordata; Mammalia; Primates; Hominidae.
CGCAGACCCUGGUUCCUGCCCACCCUCCCCGACCCAGCCAGCCUGGGGAGGAAUGGAGCCAUCCUGCUGAGGGCUGGGCACACUGUGAGUGCCUGAGGGUGCCGGCUGCCACGGUGUGGCAUUUCCUUGGCAGACGUGGUCCCCAGGGGACAGCCAGGGACGUGCUCACCUGUGGUGAUGUCGUGGCGAAUGCCUUUGACUGAGAUCCGGGCGUUUUUGACUGGCUUGCCGAAUUUAUCUGUCACCACACCUUUGAUGCCCCGGUGCACCUGAAGAGACCAAGGGGAGGCCAGGGAGAUGGCGUGAGCUCUCCUGCUGAGCGUGGAGGCCGUCAGCUCGUUCCCCACAUGCUCCUCAGAGCUUGGUAUCUAGGGGGAACUACCCCACAGAGCCCCACUCUGCCAGCCCUCGCUCUGCCAUCUUUAACGAGUCAGUCACUCCCCUCUCUGGGCCUCAGUUUCCUCCCUGGCAAUUGACCCGAGCACGUUCUGGGCUUUUGAAUGACCCUGCAUCUCACCCGAGGCCUGGCUGACUCCAUCUCUAUGGGCAUUGAGCAGAGAACCCUUUCCUGCCACUCUUCUGCCUGAUCGGCAUUCCUUCCCUGCCUUCCCAGCCCCAGCGGGACUCCCUGGGUCCCUCUGAGCUGAGGCUCCUGAAGGUGGCGUGGGCAUGGGAGAGGACGAGGACAGUGCUCGGACCCUCGCUCGAGCAGCGCGGUUUCUUCAUCGUACACGUGUAUAACACGCCCUGCCUUCUUACUGCUUGCCUGGCCUUGGCACGAACUGGUCCUGAACACACAAGCUCCCUGCACGCCCACAGCUCCAACGUUUUCACCCUGGAAAGCCCUCCCAAAGCUGCCUGAUCCUGUCCACAUUUCUUGUAAAACAGUUGAUGACAAACCACCCACACGGCCCCUGCUCUAGUCAGCAGAAAACAACGUGGGGUCCAAGGAUGCUGAAGGUCACGCUGAGCAGGACCAGGAUGCCUGUGGGGAGAGGAGUCCGUCCAGCGAGGCUGCCCCCUGCCCGGGCCCUGCACGGGGCUCAGCAGCAACAGAUUCUCAAGGGAAAGGGCUCCCAGCCAGGCCCUGCUGUGCUUCCAGAAACUAUGAAAAUGAUCUUGCUCCUCUUAAAAUCAGGAUAAAAGCAAAACAUUUUAGGUUGGAGAGACUGUUUUCCUAUAUAUUCAUCUUUAUGUCGACUGUUGUAUAAUUUUAAAUACUUUAUAUGGAGGGAGGAGUCCACAGAAGCAAAGAGCCUGGGCCCACAGGGUCAGGAAGCAGCCCUGGCAACAGGAGCAUCCUCCUUCCCUGGCCCCGGGACAUUAGCCCGAGAGGGGCUGGUUUUUCUCUGGGCCAGAAAAUCAGCUCUGCCGUAGUGACUGUUCACUUCAGACAAACCUUUGCUUCUGGGUGCCUCAGUUUCCUCAGCUGUAAAAUGUUCAUGAGGCCAAAGCAGCUCUGGCUUCUGCAGGACCGAUGAUUUCAGCAAGCAUGUGAACUCUAAUCCCACCGCGGCUGACCCCCGCCGUGACCGAUGCAGAAACCGACUGGCCUGACACACGCGGCCCGUGAGCUCAGACCCUGUGGCACCUAACUGCUGUUCCAGGCUCACGCCCAGCUGUCAGUGGUGCAGGUGGCUGAAAGAGGGGAGUGGGCACCCAGUCUAGCUCCACAAAGCACAUGCUAGCACUUAUCUCUGUGCCACAGGGAUCUCGGGAACCCAGAGCACAUGGAAUCCAUGAUGAGCACAUCAAGGGGUCCCAGCCCUCCUGACGCGAUGGAGAGGGACUGACAGCCACUGCCCCCUGCCCUCUGGGGCUCGUGACCCCCACCCUGGAUGCUCUUGUCCACACUUCGCUGCUUAAUGGAACCGCACUCCUGAAACAAUGUCUCAUGGACUCGCAUUUAGCGGGAGGGAGAGCAUAAAAAGUAAGGUUUUCCUGCAUGAGAGGUGAUGAAGAGAAACUGGACAGCUCGAGAAGCCACCAUGCCCCUCAGCCACCCCACCCUGUGGCUCCUCCUCACCCCCAGACAGCAUCUGAGCCUUCUCUGCUAAGAAUACCCUCACCAGCCCCUCACCGGGCCGAUUCCUUCCCUCCCUUCAAAACACAGCUCACACUCCUCCUCCUCCAGGAAGCCCUCCCUGAUGACCAGCCACACUGGGGGCCUACCCCAGGGCCCCACGGCCCCAGUCUUCCUCUCUGCCAGCCCUGGUCUCACUUCUGCCUCCCCUAGCCCCACCCGAGAGCAGGGGCUCUCCCAGGAGGGUCUCUUACAGGAGGCCCUCAGCAUCAGCCUGCAGUGGACGGAUUUUUUUUCUGUCCCUGCUCUUGGGCCCACGGGUCACCUUCAUGAAACACAGGGCACAUGCGGUUCUCUGGUGGGGAAAGAGAGCUGCCACGCCGCCCCUCCCCUCGCCCCAGGUGAUGUAGACUCCCACCCGAGGCCUGGCCAGGAUCACUUUGAAAAAAGCCUCAAUUGGCCACGACAGGCUUGAUCCUUAUCAGGAGCCCGCGCCCAGGUCUCCUGUAAGACGUCCGUCUCAAGAGCCAGCCAGCGAGCUGCCCAGCCUUCCAAGGUCCACGCUUGCUGUAAAUCUUCAUAUCCCAAGACUUCAUGUGUAAUAUCCAGGAGCAAUGCCAGCCACAUCCGAGGCUCCUUCAACCUCAUGUUCAUCAGACAGCCGCAAAAUGCAAUGUGCACAGGCCUGGCGCGAGAGCUCAUAGAAGAAUGGGACUCGCCACAGGUGGUGCAGGGCUGCGGCACAGCCAUCAGAAAGAAACUCAAAUGGCAGAAUGUUCCAUUUUACUUUGUGUGGGGCUUUGUUUCUUUCCUAUCUCAGCGGCUGCUGCCCCAGGGAGUUCGCUCGAUUCUUACUUGGAGGAAGGUUCCUGAUUUUUCUAGAAAGGAGGGGGCUCAUGGACAGAGGGCUUGGGAAGAAGCAGAUCUGGGCGACACCAGACAGGCCAUGUCACUCUCUGACCCUCUGUCUCCUCCUCUGGCUGGCUCGCAGACAUUGGGAGCCUGGAGCACAAGCCUGUGUGUGGCCCAGAGACCCCAGGCCAGAACCUCAACUCCAUCUAUAAAAUGGGACGGCCCCGUCUGCCGCCCGGCCUGGUGUCAGAACCGGCUGCCCUGUGUGGGUGGGCGCCAACUGUACGGUGCUGCGCCCUCACCUCUCCUUGCUGCUGCAGCUCAACCCUCUUUCUGAGGCCUGCUUCUCACUGGGCAUCUGUGCUCAUAUGCAAUUUAUGUGAUUCUUGAAAACGCUUGGGAAAAAAAUAGCAGAAGCUUCUUCGAACGCAGGCUGCCUUCCCUGUGACAUCCUGGACCCUUCUUGGGGUCCCCAGCACCCUCGGUGUGAGCUGUGCUGGAAGGGGAGCAGACAUGGGCACAGAGUCCCCACUCUCACACUGAGUGCUAGGGAGACCUUGGCUCUCUGGGGCAGCGAGGGGGUCAUUUUAGACACAUUCUCAGCCAUCCCCACUCACCUCCCACCUGCCUGCUUCUGGGUGACCUCAGCCUCACGAUAGUAGUCACCCCUCAGUCAGGACGCCCUGCCCCGCCCCCAGCCUCUGCCAGCCACUUCCUGCCUAUACCCUUCACUCUGAGGCCCCAAAACCCUGCCUGAACCACACAGCUACCCCACUGCCCAGAGCCCUCACUUCUGCGCCUCCUGGAGCACAGUGCCCGCCCCAUCCCACGGCUCGAGUCCUCACCACAGCCCCAGCGGCUCUCGAGGGUUUUGAUGUCCCCUUGGGGUUCUAGCAUGCUCCCCUCUGCUGGGAGCUCUCCCUGUCCUGUGGUUUGAUUUCUCCUACCCUUCUUCAAGAUGAAGCCCUGCGGCUGCCUCCUCCAGGAAGCCCCCCCAGCCUCUGAGGCUGGGUCAGACACCUCGCCGGGCUGCCCAGGCCCAUGCUCCCUUGUUUAAUUGUGCUGCUUUAGGCUGUAACAUCCUUGCUCACAGGGACUCCAACACAUGGCACCGCCACCCCAGCACCCACAGAGCACGCAAAGGAGAGCCGGCUACUGUAUCUCAAGUUGUGCAUGGUGGACAGUUAACCCCAAAACAAGUGGUGGCAAAAGGAGCAUGUGUGUAUGGGGCAGUGAGGCUACGGGGGCUGCCCUGGGGGCCUGAAUGUGACCCACCCCACCCAGGCCACAGCUGGACCAGAGCCCUGAGACCGUCAGAACUCACCGUCUCCACGAAAUUCAGGAGUGACUCCUUGUUGUGCUGCCAGAGUAUGUACAGGGCCUCCUCGGGGGGGAACUUCACACAGCCCAGCUCUACCGUGAUCUCAAAGCAGUUGGUGUGCAGGUAGUUGAAAUCGGACAUGCCUGUGGCACAGAGACAGCGGGGACGUCAGGGGUGUCAGCCGCACAGAGACAGCCGGGACGUCAGGGGUGUCAGCCGCACAGAGACAGCCGGGACGCCGGGGUGUCAGCCGCGCAGAGACAGCCGGGACGUCGGGGUGUCAGCCAAGUGCCCAGCAGGCAGGUGAGGCAUCGCCCUGUCUUCCGGGCUCUCCAGCUGGAUCCCAGCAGCAGACCGUGGAGUUACGCCUUGCCCCUGCCCCACCCAGCCCCUGCACCCCCCACCCCCCGCCCAGUCCCGCCCUGCGGAAGCCGCACCUCCCGUGAAGCUGUACCAGUCCGCCCCGUUGAUGAUGCUCCCCCUCUUCAGGAAAUUGCCUCCACACCUAUUCUCCGACCUGUCCAUCAUCAUGGGGUGGACGUCAGCGUAGGCUCUGGACAGCAGCUUGAACAUCUGGAAAAGAAACCUGGCUCAGAUAAGGAAAGGGUCCCCUGCAGGACGUCCUGUGAGCUGGGGUCAAUGAGGGGAGGAGCUGCGCGUGCAAACACCUGCAUUGCAGAUAGGAGAGGGGAAUGGUGUCUGCAGGUAGGAGAGGGGAACGGUGUCCUGCAGAGGACACAGUGUAUGUGAAGGCCCAGAGGUGGGUCACAGGCGGUCUGGCACUGCUGGAGUUCGGGGCCAGGUCCCAUGGGUAACUGGGGUAAUCACCGAGACUCUGCACACCUGGCCGGGUAGUGUGGGCUUUCUCUCCUGAGGUUACACACAGACAUGGUGUCCACAGGGUGUGUGCAGGUUGGCUUGACAGUUUAUAAAGCCCAGGCUGUUGGAGCAGUGAAGGCAAGGGUGGGCUGCAUUUUCCCCGACUUCAUCUCCAAAGCCAACUACUUCUAUGAAUAAUCACUGCUUCAUUCCCCACCCCACUCCACCUCCAGGCUGACCAGCACCAUCAGAGGCUGGGACUCAGCCUGCAGGAAGCCCCUCCCUGACUACCCCACCCUCCAGCUUCCACUGCAGUUGGCAGAGGGACAGAACACAGCUCACAGGAUCUGCCACCCUUGACAUGUUUGGAUGUGUGGCUGGGAUCCUGGGUCCCUCCCCACAGGCUUCCCUUCCCAGCCCAGAGCUUCCCCGCAUUGUGCCCAUCCCCCAGGCAGAGUCCACAGAUCCUCCUUUGUGGGGGCUCUGGGCCGUCUGUAAGUCCCAGACUGACCUUGGGCAGAGGCUCCUGGUGGGUCAGGCAGGCGAAGGGCUCACCCUGCAUGAGCUCAUCAGGGCCCCACCAAGCAGGACAGGUCUGUGCUGAGGAGGGGGCUCCCUCUGUCAGAAAGGAGGAGUGGAGGACACUAGAGGGUGGACAGGCAGGGCCCAGUGAGUGAGUGAGUGAGUGAGUGAAUGAGCGAAUGAAUGAGUGAAUGAGUGAGUGAGCGAAUGCGUGAGCAAGUGAAAGAGUGAGGGAAUGAGUGAAUGAGUGAGUGAAUGAGUGAAAGAGUGAGUGACUGAGUGAAUGAGUGAUUGCUCCAGGCCAGAGUGAAGAUCUCUCCCUGGUGGGGGUCAUGAGACUCGGACUCCCAGACGUGAGGUUUGGGGUUGGUGAGGAAUGGGUCCAGCUUCUCAGAAGUGAGGCUGUGCCAUCUGGACUCAGUCCCACAGACACAAACCAAGGGCACAAACACAACCCCACUCAGGCCCUGUGGUUCCAGGGUGGCAGACCAUGGACCACUAUCCUGCCAGCAGCCCCUGCACCUGUGGGUGGGGCAGCAUCAGCUCAGGAGUGGCCUGCCCUGCCUCAUAGCAGGAAGCCUCAGCGGACUUUCCCAUCAAGAAUGAAUCACAUCCAACAAACGGUCCAUCUGCCCAGGCCACAUCUGCUACAUUCUACCUGUGUCCCACCUCUGACCUGCCUUUAUCCGUCAGCUUGACAGGGUGUAGCCUCGGGGGGUAGGAGGGUGGGACAAGACUCUCUCCAAAGUCUGCUCCUGACCCAACCCACCGUGUCACCCUUUCUACCCACAAGGCCUCCCUGCCCUACAGUCCCUCCUCCCUGCCCUUGCCCUGGGGCCUCCCUCCCAUCACUGGUCAGUCUCUAGGGCUAAGGCAUGGAAGGUGGCUGCCGACCACCAGUCCCCAAAACCCUGGGGUGCAGGGGCCCAGAUCUGGCUAACACAGGCCUGACCUGGGAGGGCAGGUGCAGGACAAGGACAUCAGAGGAGCUGUCGGUCCAGAGGCUGGGCGCACAUGGGCAAGGAAGAGACACAGAUAAAUGAAACCAGGCGGGAGCAGGGAAGCUGGGACUGAAUGGGGACCCAGAAACACAGGCUGAGGACCGUGGGAAACCCAGCCCACCCAGCUCCUGCCCCAGGAAGCCCUUGGGAAACUGGCUAUGCUCAUUCCCACAGCAAGCGUUGGCAAAGCCAGAAAGGGGUUGGCAGGCAGGACACAGCAUGAGCAGGAUUCGGGCAAAGGGGCACGUGUGGAGCAGCAAAAGGCAGCCAUGGCCAGCCUGCAGGGCCUUGAACACUGUCCCCAGGCACUGGCUCUCGUCCGUAGGGCACCAUGGAAGUUUGGUGAAAGGGUACCUUGGCACACCCCAGCCAGCCCCUCUCAUGCUCCCCUGCCAAACCCAGGCCUCUCCUGGGACCCUGGUUUCCAGAGAUCACUGCCGGCCACAGGGCUGCAUGAUCACUGCCCGAUGAUUGAUGGCUUGGAAACAGUGUUAUUUUCUCUGGCUCUGAUGGGACUCACUGGGGUGAACAUCCCCCCUGGGGACGUCUUCUCACAUCUGGUUCUGAGGCUGAGACACACUGGGCCAGUGCAGAGGGGAUGCCUGCCCUGCCCUGCCAGCUCUGAGGCUGAGACACACUGGGCCUGUGCAGAGGGGGACACCUGCCCUGCCCAGCCAUGGCCCCCAAGAGCACAGGGGUGCAAGGCCAGGCCAGAAGUGGAGGCCGCCCAGUCACCUCUGCGGGCACUUGCAGAGGUCUGAGCAGAGAACCAGACACCUCACCCCUCGCACCCUUGGUGUGCACUACCUGCAAGAGUCAAUGAAUGAAUGAGUGAGGGAAGGAGUGCGGGAAUAAACCAAUGAGUGAAAGAAUAAGAGUGAGUGAAUGAGUUUGUGAGUGAAUGAAUGAGAGAAUGAGUGAGUGAAAAAGUGAGUGAAUAAGUGCAUGAGUGAAUGGAUGAAUGACUGAGAAAAUUAGUGUGUGAAUGAAUAAGAGAAUGAGUGAGUGAUGAGUGAAUGAGUGACAAUGAGUGAGUAAGUGAAUGAGUAAGUGAGUGAGGGAGUGAGUGAAUGCCUGAGUGAAUGGGUGAGUGAAUGAGUGAGGGAGUGGGUGAAUGAGUAAAUGAGUGAAUGAGUGAGGGAGUGAGGAAGGGAGUGAGUGAGUGAAUGGGUGAAUGUAUGAGUGGUGAGUGAGGGAGUGAGGGAGGGAGGGAGUGAAUGGGUGAGUGAAGGAGUGAGUUAAUGAAUGAUGAACAAGUGAAAGAGUGAAUGGGUGGAAGAAUGAACAAAUGCAGGACAAAUGCGCCGGUGGCCCAGGUGUUGCUGUCACUGCCCCUGGUCUGCAGAGUGCUCAGCUUGCUCUCCCCAUUCCUGCUGGGCCACAGCACUCGGCAUGGGCCCCUGCACCCGGCUCCCUGGGGCUCCCCUUGGUCUCUGCACCAGGUGGCCUGUGCCUCCAGUGCCCCUCCCUGCCCUGCAGCUGGAAAUCUCUACCUCACCUGUGGAGACCUUUUGGGAAACCGCCACCUCAGGGAAGCCCUCCUGAAGUCCCAGACCAGGCUGGGGGUUCCCCACCCCAACAUAUGCACGUGUGCACAUGCAUGCACACGCACACACGUGCACUCACAGCCCUCCUGCAGCCCUGGCAGUCUUCUCCUUGCCAGUUUCUGGCUCCAUUUCCCACCCUAGACUGAGGACCCCCAGCGCAGGGACCAGUCCCGUUUGCAUUCCCAAUGAUGGCCCCAGGACAGGGAGGGGCCCAGGUGAGGCAGGGCUGAUACCUGAGUGCCAACCAGGGGCCCAGCUAUGUGCUCGGCCGGGUGGCCUCAGAAAGGAGAACAAACGAUGUGUGACUGCUGUUAUGAGGGGCCCGGCACCUGGCACUUGCCCACCCAGGGCCAGUCCCUCUCUCCCUGCUCCUUCCCCCAAACACCAAGGGAAAGUGCAGGGAGGGAGGUGGAGGGCAGGCCUGGCUCUCCACGCGAAGCCUGGGGAGCGACUCUGGGCCAUCAAGGGGCCAGGUGGAGGGCAGGCCCAGCCUCCGGUGGAGUGGGGACCACUAGGGGCAGUUCAGGCAGCUAAGCUCCAGGAUCCGCAGCUGGGGGCUGGGGGCUGGGGGCUGGAGGCUGGGGCCCACCUCAGAUCACAACCCCUCCCUCAGCCUCCGCUUUCUUAUCCACAGUGUGGGAACGGACCAACUCCGCGCCCUCCCCCAGCAGGUCGUCCUAAGGUUAGGGUGGGUUGGGAGGGUCCCAGCAUCAUCACGGGUCUCAUCGCCCGCUGCUCUACGAACAGUAGGAGAAACUGAGGCCCGGAAAAGGGAGGGCCUCACCUAAUGGCCCAGUGGACGGUGGGACCAGAACUCCUUCCCCAUCCGGAGGAGCCCAGCACGUGAGAAGCAAGCACGACCCCCGGGAAGCAGGACGGGCGGGCAGCAUGCGCGCUGCAGCACUGCCCUCUGCCGGCGCCUCCCGGAAACGCACCCCUCUGCGGUGGGAAGCACUGGGGACCCCGCCAGGCGCGGGGCGGAGCUCAAAGGAACAGCAGCGCUGAGGCAGGGUCCCCACCCCAGGAGCUCCCAGACGGGGACAUGUGAAAGACAGUGCAGCCAGCCUCGGGGAGAUCAGGGGAGCGACGGCCCCUGAGGCCACAGACUUCCAGGAGGAAGGGGCUUCCCUGCAGAGCUGGGCCUGGAGCAGGUGGUGCUGACCCGCUCUGAGUAGAGGUUCCUAGGAGCUUUGCCUUCACUGAGCUCAGGACUGGAGGGGCACCAGCUCCAAGGGGACCGCGCACACUGUCUCCCUCCCCUGCACACACCCGACAGCCCUCUCACCUUCUCGUCGGGCGUGGGAGAAAACAUCUUCUCCUCCUGGGGGUGCUUGGAGAAGUCGAAGGGGUAGGACACCACCAGGUCGCCCCCAUGAAGGCUGGCUGAGAGCACAAAGGGUAUGGUCUGCAUCCACUUCAUGAUUGCCUUUGUCUCCGGGGCCACCUGCCCAGGACAGACGAGGCCGCCCUCAGGGCUGGGCUUUCCCACUGGCCCGCAGCCAUGCCCUGGGCUUCAGCAGCCCUCUGGGCUCCAAUGGUGCAGACUAUUAACGGUCUCUACAUCAACGCACCAGCUGGACUCGGCCCCCAUCACUGGGCCCCUGCGGGGAUCUAGGCGUUUCCAACAUGAAUCUCUGAAUCUCACCAACACCCCAGCAAGGAGGUGUUCCCAUUUCACAGACAGGUAACUGAGGCAGGGAGGGAGCACCAGGCUCUCCUGUCCCCAGGGAAGGACAACUCCAGAGAGCCUGGAAUAACUAGGGACCCCUGGAUGCCUUGGUGGAGACCAGCAUGGGCAGCGGCGGCUCCUACCUUACCCCACCAGUAGUGCUGGGGGAUGGGGAUGUGGUCGCUGCGUGCGCCGCGGGUCUCCGCCAGCCGGUAGUACUCGGACGUCAGGUCCGGGAAAUUUCGGUUCAGAUCCAGGUUCUGCGCGUUCUGCCUCCCGCUCGUCCACCCGUUGUAGCCGGCACCCUGAAAACAUGGCCAACCCCCGACUGGGUGGGGUCAGCACACCCCACCCUCCUCCUUCCAGAUGGGUCUCACGCUGGGCUGAGGGUCAAGGCCAGGGGCUGCGGUUUCCCCCGGCUUUAUGUGAUGAGCUCGGGGGCAUGCCUGACCCUUGGCCUCCUCUCCACCCCGGGGCUCCUUGCUGAUGUCACAGCCUUGGGGCCUUCCCUGGCUGCUCCCCCUGAGUGGGGCGCCCUCGACAGUCACCUGCUCUGCUCGUUGCCCACCUCCCCGAGAGCUACCCUGACCCCCCGCUGACACACACGGGCACCAUCGACUCCCUUUCCAUCAUUUUCCUCUAUCACACGCAUCACCUUUUUAAUUCACCUAGAAUUCUCAGUGCCUUCCUUCUCCCCAGCCCCUGAAGCAGGGGUUUGCCAGUAUCGACACCUGCUGAAUGCUCCUCUCCUAGAGAGGCAGGAACGAAGCACUGCUGGGAUAAACUACUCAUAAAUGGAUGAAUGAGGGGGUGGUUCGGGCGGUGGCCCACAGGAUCCAGGCAUCUGGGCGCUCACCUCGGCAGCUGCCACCUCAUAGCCGUCAGGGUUCAUGGAGGGCAGCAGGUGGAUGCGGGUGGUGUUGAGCAGGCGCUGGAUGCGGGGGUUACCAAGCAGGUACUCAGAGCACAGGUACUGGGCUAGGUAGAUGAGCAUCUCCCGGCCCGCCACCUCGUUGCCAUGAAUGUUGCCGAUGAGCUUCACCUCGGGCUCCACUGGGGGCAAAUACAGAGACUUGGGGCAUCAUCUCAAAGCCGGGGGUCCCCAAAGGCAUGAGGCCCCCCCACUCAGCAAGAAUGACCAGAUGGGCUGGGACCAAUUCAUACUUGUUUUGACUCAAGAACCUCUGUAUAUAAUGAGGUCUCAUCAAGGUCAUCACUUUUGUUAAGCUCGUUUUUUAUGCCUAGCCAGAAUUCUUAGUUAGCAUAACUCAAGAAUAUGAAUAAUAUAUGUUAUCAUUGAUUCAUGCAAAUUUAACUGAUGGUCUCUCUUCAUGUUUGUGUAAUAAGUCAAAGUGCACAUUGGUACUUAGCUGGGAAGGUGGUUGGCCCUUGAGUGGAUGAAUGGAUAUAUCAAUGAUGGAUGGAUGGAUGGAUGGAUGGAUGAAUAAUGGCUGGCUGGAUGGCUGGAUGGAUAGAUAUAUCAAUGAUGGAUGAAUGGAUAGAUGGAUAAAUCAAUGAUGGAUGGAUGAGUGAAUAAUGGCUGGAUGAAAUAAUGGAUAAAUUGAUGCAUGAAUGGAUGGACGGAUGAUGGAUGGGUGUGUAAAUAAAU